RNAcentral lists this unclassified non-coding RNA (538 nucleotides) under Zea mays. RNAcentral's name for it is "misc RNA Zm00001eb393700". The record is from RNAcentral. Lineage: Eukaryota; Viridiplantae; Streptophyta; Magnoliopsida; Poales; Poaceae.
AGCUGGAGUUCAUCUUCUCCACCGUGCCUUAUCCCCACGAGCCUCUGCUCCACACACAAGGCCGCACACGCCCUCCCUUAAUCAGUCGACGCCAGACGCUGCUUCCAGGCCCUUCUCCUUCCUCGCAGCGCUCCCAGCUCGACUCUCUGGCGCCCCUCGCCUUAUCUUCCAUAGACGCGCCGCUCCACCUCUAGCUUCUUCAUCGCCGCGCCCUGGCUCCAGCUCUUCCCACGCCGACGCGCCGCCCUCCGCCACCUCGCCGGCCAUGGCGCCCCUCAUUCCCAUCUCCCUCAUCUCCCAUGGCCGCGCAGCUCCUCCUCAAGUCGCGCCCGUCCCCUAGGCACGCGUUCGCCGGCGCUCAAGCCCUCUCCCAGAUCGUGUCGGCCAACCUCGACGUCGGCCCUCUGCCCGCUGGUGGCCAGCGCUCGCCUUGACGGACCCUUUGCUUGUUGUUCACAAAAAAUUUAUCACCUUAUAUUAUACGAUGCAUUAGGUGAGUUGUGUGACAAUUGAUGUAUUAUCAUCCUUAGAAACUUGA